GAUCAUGGCUCAGGAUGAACGCUAGCUACAGGCUUAACACAUGCAAGUCGAGGGGCAGCAUGGUCUUAGCCUGCUAAGGCCGAUGGCGACCGGCGCACGGGUGAGUAACGCGUAUCCAACCUGCCUUACACUCUUGGACAGCCUUCUGAAAGGGAGAUUAAUACAAGAUGUUAUCAUGAGUAAGCAUUUUCGCAUGAUUAAAGGUUUACCGGUGUAAGAUGGGAGUGCG
Molecule: ribosomal RNA, 229 nt
Filed under: uncultured bacterium
Lineage: Bacteria
Description: partial 16S ribosomal RNA
Rfam family: Bacterial small subunit ribosomal RNA
Source: RNAcentral